CGCCUGUUUAUCAAAAACAUGUCCUUUGGUUUUAUUUAAGGUCUAACCUGCCCAAUGAUUUAUUUAAUGGCCGCGGUAUUUUAACUGUGCUAAGGUAGCAUAAUCAUUUGUCUUUUAAUUGAAGGCUGGUAUGAAUGGUUGGACGAGGCAUAAUCUUUCUUUAAUUUAAUUUAUGAAUUUAAUUUUUUAGUUAAAAAGCUAAAAUUUAUUUGUUGGACGAGAAGACCCUAUAGAUCUUGAUAUUUAAUUAUUCUGGUAAUUUGGUUAAUUUAUUAUUUAGAUUAAUAUAAGUAUUUGGUUGGGGUGACUUUAGAAUUUUAAUAACUUCUGUUUUUUAUUUUCAUUUAUUUAUGUAUUAUUGAUCCGUUAUUAAUGAUUAUAAGAUUAAGUUACCUUAGGGAUAACAGCGUAAUUCUUUUGGAGAGUUCAUAUCGAUGAAAGGGUUUGCGACCUCGAUGUUGGAUUAAAAUAAGUAGUAGAUGCAGUAGUUUACUAACUAGGUCUGUUCGACCUUUUAUUUUUUACAUGAUCUGAGUUCAAACCGGAG
RNAcentral lists this ribosomal RNA (547 nucleotides) under Apiomerus ochropterus. RNAcentral describes it as "partial 16S ribosomal RNA". It matches the Rfam family "Bacterial large subunit ribosomal RNA", at positions 1797 to 2621 of the family's 2925-position model. Lineage: Eukaryota; Metazoa; Arthropoda; Insecta; Hemiptera; Reduviidae. The record is from RNAcentral.